RNAcentral lists this ribosomal RNA (253 nucleotides) under uncultured bacterium. RNAcentral's name for it is "partial 16S ribosomal RNA". It matches the Rfam family "Bacterial small subunit ribosomal RNA", at positions 524 to 776 of the family's 1533-position model. The record is from RNAcentral.
UACGGAGGGCGCGAGCGUUAAUCGGAAUUACUGGGCGUAAAGCGUGCGUAGGCGGCCCGGUCAGUCUCGCGUGAAAGCCCCGGGCUCAACCUGGGAACUGCGCGGGAAACUGCCGGGCUGGAGUGCGGGAGAGGGGUGUGGAAUUUCCGGUGUAGCAGUGAAAUGCGUAGAGAUCGGAAGGAACACCAGUGGCGAAGGCGGCACCCUGGACCGACACUGACGCUGAGGCACGAAAGCGUGGGGAGCAAACAGG